This 246-nucleotide ribosomal RNA is filed under the name Burgoa sp. RNAcentral's name for it is "partial large subunit ribosomal RNA". Lineage: Eukaryota; Fungi; Basidiomycota; Agaricomycetes; Cantharellales; Hydnaceae. The record is from RNAcentral.
AAACGCUUGAAGUCAGUCGCGUCUUUCAGAGAUCAACCUGGCCUUUCCGCUUGGUGCAUUCUUUGGAGGACGGGUCAGCAUCAAUUUUGACCGGGGGAAAAAGUUGGUGGGAAUGUGGCACCUUUUUGGUGUGUUAUAGCCUGCUUCCAUAUACCUCGGUUGGGAUUGAGGAACUCAGCGCGCCGCAAGGCCGGACUUUUUUUGUCACGUACGCGCUUAGGAUGCUGGCAUAAUGUCUUCAAUCGA